UGCCCUGAUGUGGGGGAUAACUAUUGGAAACGAUAGCUAAUACCGCAUAAUGUCUACGGACCAAAGAGGGGGACCUUCGGGCCUCUCGCUUCAGGAUAUGCCCAGGUGGGAUUAGCUAGUUGGUGAGGUAAUGGCUCACCAAGGCGACGAUCCCUAGCUGGUCUGAGAGGAUGAUCAGCCACACUGGAACUGAGACACGGUCCAGACUCCUACGGGAGGCAGCAGUGGGGAAUAUUGCACAAUGGGCGCAAGCCUGAUGCAGCCAUGCCGCGUGUAUGAAGAAGGCCUUCGGGUUGUAAAGUACUUUCAGUCGUGAGGAAGGCAAUAUAGUUAAUAGCUAUAUUGGUUUGACGUUAGCGACAGAAAGAAAGCACCGGCUAACUCCGUGCCAGCAGCCGCGGUUAAUACGGGA
This 412-nucleotide ribosomal RNA is filed under the name Vibrio sp. P1-29. Its description in RNAcentral is "bacterial SSU rRNA". It matches the Rfam family "Bacterial small subunit ribosomal RNA", at positions 127 to 530 of the family's 1533-position model. The record is from RNAcentral. Lineage: Bacteria; Pseudomonadati; Pseudomonadota; Gammaproteobacteria; Vibrionales; Vibrionaceae.